UACGGAGGAUGCGAGCGUUAUCCGGAUUUAUUGGGUUUAAAGGGUGCGUAGGCGGACGCUUAAGUCAGCGGUAAAAUUGCGGGGCUCAACCUCGUCGAGCCGUUGAAACUGGGUGCCUUGAGUGGGCGAGAAGUACGCGGAAUGCGUGGUGUAGCGGUGAAAUGCAUAGAUAUCACGCAGAACUCCGAUUGCGAAGGCAGCGUACCGGCGCCCAACUGACGCUGAGGCUCGAAAGCGUGGGGAGCAAACAGG
RNAcentral lists this ribosomal RNA (252 nucleotides) under uncultured bacterium. Its description in RNAcentral is "partial 16S ribosomal RNA". It matches the Rfam family "Bacterial small subunit ribosomal RNA", at positions 524 to 776 of the family's 1533-position model. The record is from RNAcentral.